GUCAAUGGCGGCUGUGCGCGGGAGGAUUUCGAUCCUGCCGGGUCCUAUGUCCCCGGUUUCCAACCUGCGUACAGCUGCCACCCCU
Molecule: non-coding RNA, 85 nt
Organism: Pseudomonas batumici
Lineage: Bacteria; Pseudomonadati; Pseudomonadota; Gammaproteobacteria; Pseudomonadales; Pseudomonadaceae
Source: Rfam